CCUACGGGAGGCAGCAGUAGGGAAUCUUCCGCAAUGGACGCAAGUCUGACGGAGCAACGCCGCGUGAGUGAAGAAGGUCUUCGGAUCGUAAAGCUCUGUUGUUAGAGAAGAACAGCGCAUAGAGUAACUGUUAUGCGUGUGACGGUAUCUAACCAGAAAGCCACGGCUAACUACGUGCCAGCAGCCGCGGUAAUACGUAGGUGGCGAGCGUUGUCCGGAUUUAUUGGGCGUAAAGGGAGUGUAGGCGGUCUUUUAAGUCUGAUGUGAAAGCCCACGGCUCAACCGUGGAGGGUCAUUGGAAACUGGGAGACUUGAGUGCAGAAGAGGAGAGCGGAAUUCCAUGUGUAGCGGUGAAAUGCGUAGACAUAUGGAGGAACACCAGUGGCGAAGGCGGCUCUCUGGUCUGUAACUGACGCUGAGGCUCGAAAGCGUGGGGAGCAAACAGGAUUAGAUACCCUGGUAGUCCACGCCGUAAACGAUGAGUGCUAAGUGUUGGAGGGGUUCCACCCUUCAGUGCUGGAGUUAACGCAAUAAGCACUCCGCCUGGGGAGUACGACCGCAAGGUUGAAACUCAAAGGAAUUGACGG
This 587-nucleotide ribosomal RNA is filed under the name uncultured bacterium. RNAcentral's name for it is "bacterial SSU rRNA". It matches the Rfam family "Bacterial small subunit ribosomal RNA", at positions 338 to 916 of the family's 1533-position model. The record is from RNAcentral.